This 371-nucleotide ribosomal RNA is filed under the name uncultured organism. RNAcentral's name for it is "partial 16S ribosomal RNA". It matches the Rfam family "Bacterial small subunit ribosomal RNA", at positions 527 to 896 of the family's 1533-position model. The record is from RNAcentral.
GUAGGGGGCAAGCGUUGUCCGGAAUUAUUGGGCGUAAAGCGCGCGCAGGCGGUCUCUUAAGUCUGAUGUGAAAGCCCACGGCUCAACCGUGGAGGGUCAUUGGAAACUGGGAGACUUGAGUGUAGGAGAGGAAAGUGGAAUUCCACGUGUAGCGGUGAAAUGCGUAGAUAUGUGGAGGAACACCAGUGGCGAAGGCGACUUUCUGGCCUACAACUGACGCUGAGGCGCGAAAGCGUGGGGAGCAAACAGGAUUAGAUACCCUGGUAGUCCACGCUGUAAACGAUGAGUGCUAGGUGUUAGGGGGUUUCGAUGCCCUUAGUGCCGAAGUUAACACAUUAAGCACUCCGCCUGGGAGUACGGCCGCAAGGCUG